Corticium candelabrum is the source of this 248-nucleotide long non-coding RNA. RefSeq lists it as uncharacterized. NCBI's taxonomy places the organism in Eukaryota, Metazoa, Porifera, Homoscleromorpha, Homosclerophorida, Plakinidae. The record is from RefSeq and is a predicted model, not a curated record. The transcript has 3 exons.
GUAUGGUAUUCCAUCAGCGUUGCAAGUAGCAUGUGCUAAUUCAUGGAUUGAGAUGGUAGACUUGCUGCUACAACAUCAAGCAAACAUAAACUAUCAUGAGGAAUCGGGUGGACGGACAGCUCUACAUUAUGCUUGUGUGAAUGGUCAUUUGUCUGUUGUGGAGAAAUUAUUGUCAGCAGGUUGUAAGAAAGAAGCAAGGACUAAUAGUGGAAGGACAGCUCUGCAUUAUGCUUGUGAUGAUGGUUAUG